AUGAACGCUGGCGGCGUGCUUAACACAUGCAAGUCGAACGAAGCACCUUGAUUUGAUUCUUCGGAUGAAGAUCUUGGUGACUGAGUGGCGGACGGGUGAGUAACGCGUGGGUAACCUGCCUCAUACAGGGGGAUAACAGUUAGAAAUGACUGCUAAUACCGCAUAAGACCACAGCACCGCAUGGUGCAGGGGUAAAAACUCCGGUGGUAUGAGAUGGACCCGCGUCUGAUUAGGUAGUUGGUGGGGUAACGGCCUACCAAGCCGACGAUCAGUAGCCGACCUGAGAGGGUGACCGGCCACAUUGGGACUGAGACACGGCCCAAACUCCUACGGGAGGCAGCAGUGGGGAAUAUUGCACAAUGGGGGAAACCCUGAUGCAGCGACGCCGCGUGAGCGAUGAAGUAUUUCGGUAUGUAAAGCUCUAUCAGCAGGGAAGAAAAUGACGGUACCUGACGAAGAAGCACCGGCUAAAUACGUG
RNAcentral lists this ribosomal RNA (478 nucleotides) under uncultured bacterium. RNAcentral's name for it is "partial 16S ribosomal RNA". It matches the Rfam family "Bacterial small subunit ribosomal RNA", at positions 29 to 507 of the family's 1533-position model. The record is from RNAcentral.